RNAcentral lists this ribosomal RNA (605 nucleotides) under uncultured bacterium. RNAcentral describes it as "bacterial SSU rRNA". It matches the Rfam family "Bacterial small subunit ribosomal RNA", at positions 294 to 916 of the family's 1533-position model. The record is from RNAcentral.
GAGAGGGCGCACGGACACACUGGAACUGAAACACGGUCCAGACUCCUACGGGAGGCAGCAGUGGGGAAUUUUGCGCAAUGGGGGAAACCCUGACGCAGCAACGCCGCGUGGAGGAUGAAGCCCCUUGGGGUGUAAACUCCUUUCGAUCGGGAAGAUAAUGACGGUACCGAUAUAAGAAGCCCCGGCUAACUUCGUGCCGGCAGCCGCGGUAAUACGAGGGGGGCAAGCGUUGUUCGGAAUUAUUGGGCGUAAAGGGUGCGUAGGCGGUUUGACAAGUCUGAUGUGAAAUCUAUGGGCUCAACCCAUAGUCUGCAUCGGAAACUGUCGGGCUUGAGUAUGGGAGAGGUGAGUGGAAUUUCCGGUGUAGCGGUGAAAUGCGUAGAUAUCGGAAGGAACACCUGUGGCGAAAGCGGCUCACUGGACCAUUACUGACGCUGAGGCACGAAAGCUAGGGGAGCAAACAGGAUUAGAUACCCUGGUAGUCCUAGCCCUAAACGAUGAUUGCUUGGUGUGGCAGGUACCCAAUCCUGCCGUGCCGAAGCUAACGCGAUAAGCAAUCCGCCUGGGGAGUACGGUCGCAAGGCUGAAACUCAAAGGAAUGACGG